ACCCAUUGUUAUCUUACCUUUAAUAUUGUUCUUAUUCAAUUCUACCAUCUUUCAUAUUUACACUUAUCUGUCUAUCUUGGUUAAGUUAGAGCGUAGUUGGUUCUCCCGUUUCCCUGUGGAUAUGAUAAAACCUUUAACCGGGUAAAAGCAACAACGGUAUCCGUGCGCUUGCGGAUUUAUCUUUGUGCGUAUAAAUACCAUAGUACACUCUAGUGCCAUGCUGGGGAUGAUAAUCUAGUAUUCAAGUGGUGUUAGCAAGUGUCAACAAGCAUUUUUGGUGCCGUUGCCGGGG
RNAcentral lists this long non-coding RNA (292 nucleotides) under Sorghum bicolor (sorghum). RNAcentral describes it as "long non-coding RNA (SBIC_LNC012400)". The record is from RNAcentral. Lineage: Eukaryota; Viridiplantae; Streptophyta; Magnoliopsida; Poales; Poaceae.